UGCGUAGAUGGAUGUUUAAGUCGGAUGUGAAAUCCCCGGGCUCAACCUGGGAAUUGCAUUCGAUACUGGAUGUCUAGAGUAUGGUAGAGGAAAGUGGAAUUCCCGGUGUAGCGGUGAAAUGCGUAGAUAUCGGGAAGAACAUCAAGGCGAAGGCAGCUUUCUGGACCAAUACUGACAUUGAGGCACGAAAGCGUGGGGAGCAAACA
RNAcentral lists this ribosomal RNA (206 nucleotides) under uncultured bacterium. RNAcentral's name for it is "partial 16S ribosomal RNA". It matches the Rfam family "Bacterial small subunit ribosomal RNA", at positions 568 to 774 of the family's 1533-position model. The record is from RNAcentral.